This is a long non-coding RNA of Biomphalaria glabrata, 1432 nucleotides long. RefSeq lists it as uncharacterized. The record is from RefSeq and is a predicted model, not a curated record. NCBI's taxonomy places the organism in Eukaryota, Metazoa, Mollusca, Gastropoda, Planorbidae. The transcript is spliced from 3 exons.
AAUAGUCAUUUUGGACCCAAAAAUGGAUUUUUAGAUUUAAACGUAUUUAGAUAGCUUAUCCAUUUAUUUACUAGAAUAGAAUGUUCAAUUUUCUGAAAUAUUGCUUUAAAUUAUACUUUUUUUCAUUUUUAGGGUGCUUAUUAAUCAAGAUUUGAUUGAAAAACGUAAAAAUCCCCCAUAGUUACGCCUAUAAUAACUCUUUUGCAUAGCAAAUACUCUGGUCAUAUUUGGUAUCAAAUUGUUCGGCUUCAAAAGCACUUUUAAAAUUUGGCAACACUUCCUAAUCUAUUAUAAGAAGUUUUUAGCUAAAUUUAGAAACUUGCGUACUCUAUUUGGUAAGUUUUUCGUAUAAUUAUAGCCCACUCAUAAAUACUGAACGCUGAUUGGUUGCUUACCGGAAUACCCCUAGUGACUGUGUAUACGUCAGCUUAUCGAAAAUAGAAAAACAAACAUGCUGCCGUUUUCUCGUUGCAAACAAAACAGUUUCAGUAUCAUAAAAUAAACGUUUUUGUAUGUUUUAUUCUUGCUAUUCGGAAAUCUUCAUCAUGUUUGAAGUACUACUGGUAGCAGAAUGAAAUCCCUGCCUCCAACAUAAUACAAAGAUUGGUUUGAAUCUCACCAAGUUAAUUGUGAUAUCAACUAGAUCUAUUCUAUAAAGGAUUCAAGCAAUGGUGGCGACGCAUUCCGCUGAAAUAUUCUGGAAGAUAUUCAUCAACGAGUUUAACUGCGAUACACCACAGUGUUAUCCAAAUCUUUUAACAGAGUGUGUGGGAUUUAACCUUUUGAAGAUAUAAAAGUAACCUAAGAACAGUGCUACUCAAUUUACCAAAGGCUAUCAGAACAAGCAAAUUAUACAACGAUGUAAAUUUGGGGAAACUCAAAAUACGAUUACGUCGAUUCGCUCAUGAACUAGAAACUUUUGGACCAAAAUCUAGAUUUACUAAUCCAGAAAAAGAAAACUGUUCUAUUUUAGCGGCUGUGGGACAACUUAAUGUAAAUUUUUCUUUUGUCAGUGUAAUUAAAACUUUUUUUCAAUUAUUAGGCCAGCAAGAAAAACCAUCCACUUAGAUUAUCAAGCUUUCAGAAAAUCUUAAGAAAUGCAAUUUUAAAAAGUUAUAAAAAGAUUACUGUUGUUGAGAAAAGAUGCUAAAGCACACAUAGAAUUUCAGUUGAUAGAAGCAAAAGGAGUUUGUUAAUAUUCUGGAAAGUUUUAAAUCCAUUGUUUACAUUUUGAAUUUUUAGCUAUUUUUCUCAUAUUGCUAUCGACUUAUAUGAUCAUCUUAAAAGUACUAUAACUUAAAAACUUAUUGAUGAAAUGAUGUCAAAUUUUUUACAUUAUAAGACUAUAUUUAGUUAUCAAAGUGUGCAGUGUUAUUUAUUCAAAUAUAGUGAUUUUACAUAGUUUGACAAAUAAAUUUUAGUUUUAAAUCAA